Molecule: unclassified non-coding RNA, 379 nt
Filed under: uncultured Pseudomonadota bacterium
Lineage: Bacteria; Pseudomonadati; Pseudomonadota
Description: uncultured proteobacterium contains 16S-23S intergenic spacer region
Source: RNAcentral
UCCGGUUUAGCACCGGCAGUCCCCCUAGAGUGCCCAACUUAAUGAUGGCAACUAAGGGUAGGGGUUGUGCUCGUUGCGGGACUUAACCCAACAUCUCACGACACGAGCUGACCACAGCCAUGCAGCACCUGUCACCGAGCUCCCUUGCGGGCACUUCCUCAUCUCUGAGGAAUUCUCGGGAUGUCAAACCCAGGUAAGGUUCUUCGCGUUGCUUCGAAUUGAACCACAUGCUCCACCGCUUGUGCGGGCCCCCGCCAAUUCCUUUGAGUUUUAAUCUUGCGACCGUACUCCCCAGGCGGGAUGCUUAACGCGUUAGCUACGGCACUGAAGGGUUGAUUACCUCCACCACCUAGCAUCCAUCGUUUACGGCGUGGACUAC